UACAGGGGGGGCAAGCGUUGUUCGGAAUUACUGGGCGUAAAGGGCUCGUAGGCGGCCAACUAAGUCAGACGUGAAAUCCCUCGGCUUAACCGGGGAACUGCGUCUGAUACUGGAUGGCUUGAGUUUGGGAGAGGGAUGCGGAAUUCCAGGUGUAGCGGUGAAAUGCGUAGAUAUCUGGAGGAACACCGGUGGCGAAGGCGGCAUCCUGGACCAACACUGACGCUGAGCGAGCGAAAGCCAGGGGAGCAAACGGG
Molecule: ribosomal RNA, 254 nt
Filed under: uncultured bacterium
Lineage: Bacteria
Description: partial 16S ribosomal RNA
Rfam family: Bacterial small subunit ribosomal RNA
Source: RNAcentral